This 462-nucleotide ribosomal RNA is filed under the name uncultured bacterium. Its description in RNAcentral is "partial 16S ribosomal RNA". It matches the Rfam family "Bacterial small subunit ribosomal RNA", at positions 28 to 507 of the family's 1533-position model. The record is from RNAcentral.
GACGAACGCUGGCGGCGUGCUUAACACAUGCAAGUCGAGCGGUAAGGCCUUUCGGGGUACACGAGCGGCGAACGGGUGAGUAACACGUGGGUGAUCUGCCCUGCACUUCGGGAUAAGCCUGGGAAACUGGGUCUAAUACCGGAUAUGACCUCCUAUCGCAUGGUGGGUGGUGGAAAGAUUUAUCGGUGCAGGAUGGGCCCGCGGCCUAUCAGCUUGUUGGUGGGGUAAUGGCCUACCAAGGCGACGACGGGUAGCCGACCUGAGAGGGUGGCCGGCCACACUGGGACUGAGACACGGCCCAGACUCCUACGGGAGGCAGCAGUGGGGAAUAUUGCACAAUGGGCGAAAGCCUGAUGCAGCGACGCCGCGUGAGGGAUGACGGCCUUCGGGUUGUAAACCUCUUUCAGCAGGGGCGAAGCGCAAGUGACGGUACCUGCAGAAGAAGCACCGGCUAACUACGUG